Molecule: ribosomal RNA, 395 nt
Filed under: uncultured Streptococcus sp.
Lineage: Bacteria; Bacillati; Bacillota; Bacilli; Lactobacillales; Streptococcaceae
Description: bacterial SSU rRNA
Rfam family: Bacterial small subunit ribosomal RNA
Source: RNAcentral
UCCCGAUGCUUAUUUCUAGAGAUAGAAAGUUACUUCGGUACAUCGGUGACAGGUGGUGCAGUGGUUGUCGUCAGCUCGUGUCGUGAGAUGUUGGGUUAAGUCCCGCAACGAGCGCAACCCCUAUUGUUAGUUGCCAUCAUUCAGUUGGGCACUCUAGCGAGACUGCCGGUAAUAAACCGGAGGAAGGUGGGAUGACGUCAAAUCAUCAUGCCCCUUAUGACCUGGGCUACACACGUGCUACAAUGGUUGGUACAACGAGUUGCGAGUCGGUGACGGCGAGCUAAUCUCUUAAAGCCAAUCUCAGUUCGGAUUGUAGGCUGCAACUCGCCUACAUGAAGUCGGAAUCGCUAGUAAUCGCGGAUCAGCACGCCGCGGUGAAUACGUUCCCGGGCCUU